CCCAAGAUGGCAAGUUGCUUAAAACCUAAAGCUCCUUUCAAUUCUUUACAAUCCAAGAUUAUAUGGAAUGGACUGGGAACAAAGAGAGGGACUGGCAUUUAAAGUCUUUUAUACACUUUGGAACAAAUGUUAUUCUCCAUUCAUCCUGACACUAAAUUGGUUAGCCAAACCCAAAGAUCUACUAAUAAUCCUGCUUUGGCAUGGGAGAAUGAGUGAGAUAAGGAGGCAAUAGAGGAGAUGAAUCGACAAAUGGAAGGAAUAGAAUUCUGGUUGAUGUCCUUGUCUCUAAGCUGUAGCAGCAAGUAUUUAUCCUAAAUGUUUCAAUUCAUGCCAUCACAUCUUUGAAAACUGGCAAUUCAACCUUGCCUUGAGCAUUUCCAUGUACAGGAAACACAUGAUCUCUUAAGGAGUCCAUUUCACCGUCAGACGGUUCUGAAGGAUGUGAGUGGUUCUCAACAUUGAAACCAGUGCUGGCUCCUGGUUUGAAUUUCUGUAGCCACUCCAGUCUCGUUCUUGUGCUCACCAUUCCUCCAAAUUGGCCGCCUAUGACUUCUAUGACAAUAAAUCCAAUGGACCCUUGCCAAGCUUAUCAUAUUUUCUCAGCAGCAUUUGACCCAGUUGGCAUUCUUGA
RNAcentral lists this long non-coding RNA (631 nucleotides) under Homo sapiens (human). RNAcentral's name for it is "HSALNT0333215". Lineage: Eukaryota; Metazoa; Chordata; Mammalia; Primates; Hominidae. The record is from RNAcentral.